ACCGUAAUAUGUGUCCGUUGGGAGUAUCAUCAUGGAAUGAUAUUAAGCAAGAAAAGUUGAAUCACAUGUGGGCAGCUAUUGAGGAUAAAUUUGAGAGUGUUGACAUGAAUGAUCAUCGUUAACAUAUCUUCGGAUGGAUGAAAGAGUUAUGGAACAAAUGGAGAGGACACUUGCAUGCAAAAUAUGUGAAGGAUAAGCCAAUCCAACAGGCUCUUAAGAAUAUUCCAAAGGGAGUAGACAAGAAAGAAUGGGAGUGGUUAGUUAAGGAACAUUUUUCUUCAGAAAGUUUUCAGGCGAGAAGCAACAGGAAUGCAGCAAAUCGAGC
Molecule: long non-coding RNA, 325 nt
Organism: Nicotiana attenuata
Lineage: Eukaryota; Viridiplantae; Streptophyta; Magnoliopsida; Solanales; Solanaceae
Exons: 3
Source: RefSeq, a predicted model, not a curated record